UGGGAUGUGAGGUUGAUGAGUUUUUUUUAUUUUUAUUUUUAUUUUUUUGUUGGGUGUGUAUUUAGAGGCAGUUUGGGAAGAUAGUGAGCUUUUCUCAGAAGUUGUGAAAAUGUGAAUUAGAAAUUAGGGUGAACUUAGAAUAUGAAGUGAACAAAGAGAAUUGCGGAGUUUAAAUAGAAAAACUUUUAAUUUAUACCUAUUGAGUUGAAUAUGUCCCUUACCUGCAAGGAGGUAC
RNAcentral lists this long non-coding RNA (235 nucleotides) under Prunus persica (peach). Its description in RNAcentral is "long non-coding RNA (PPER_LNC002637)". Lineage: Eukaryota; Viridiplantae; Streptophyta; Magnoliopsida; Rosales; Rosaceae. The record is from RNAcentral.